GACGAACGCUGGCGGCGUGCUUAACACAUGCAAGUCGAACGAUGAAGCCGGAGCUUGCUCCGGUGGAUUAGUGGCGAACGGGUGAGUAACACGUGAGCAAUCCGCCCUUGACUCUGGGAUAACUGCGGGAAACUGUAGCUAAUACCGGAUACGACACCUUGGGGCAUCCCAGGGUGUGGAAAGAAUUUCGGUCAAGGAUGAGCUCGCGGCCUAUCAGCUAGUUGGCGAGGUAAUGGCUCACCAAGGCGACGACGGGUAGCCGGCCUGAGAGGGUGACCGGCCACACUGGAACUGAGACACGGUCCAGACUCCUACGGGAGGCAGCAGUGGGGAAUAUUGCACAAUGGGCGAAAGCCUGAUGCAGCAACGCCGCGUGAGGGAUGAAGGCCUUCGGGUUGUAAACCUCUUUUAGCAGGGAAGAAGCGAAAGUGACGGCACCUGCAGAAAAAGCACCGGCUAACUACGUGCCAGCCGCCGCAGUAA
This 483-nucleotide ribosomal RNA is filed under the name uncultured bacterium. RNAcentral describes it as "partial 16S ribosomal RNA". It matches the Rfam family "Bacterial small subunit ribosomal RNA", at positions 28 to 523 of the family's 1533-position model. The record is from RNAcentral.